RNAcentral lists this ribosomal RNA (450 nucleotides) under uncultured bacterium. RNAcentral's name for it is "bacterial SSU rRNA". It matches the Rfam family "Bacterial small subunit ribosomal RNA", at positions 355 to 796 of the family's 1533-position model. The record is from RNAcentral.
UCGAGAGGCUUCGGCAAUGGGGGAAACCCUGACCGAGCGACGCCGCGUGGAGGAUGAAGGCCCUUGGGUUGUAAACUCCUUUUGUUGGGGAAGAAAUGCGAUCAGGUGAAUAAUCUGGUCGUUUGACGGUACCCGACGAAUAAGCUCCGGCUAACUCCGUGCCAGCAGCCGCGGUAACACGGGGGGAGCAAGCGUUGUUCGGAAUCACUGGGCGUAAAGGGCGUGUAGGCGGUCAGGUAAGUGGAAUGUGAAAGCCCUCGGCUCACCCGAGGAUCUGCAUCCCAAACUGCCUGGCUUGAGUAUGGGAGAGGAUGAGGGAAUUCCUGGUGUAGCGGUGAAAUGCGUAGAUAUCAGGAGGAACACCGGUGGCGAAGGCGCUCAUCUGGCCCAAUACUGACGCUGAGGCGCGAAAGCUAGGGGAGCAAACGGGAUUAGAUACCCGCGUAGUCC